CGUAGGGUGCGAGCGUUAAUCGGAAUUACUGGGCGUAAAGCGUGCGCAGGCGGUUUUGUAAGACAGGCGUGAAAUCCCCGGGCUCAACCUGGGAACUGCGCUUGUGACUGCAAGGCUAGAGUACGGCAGAGGGGGUGGAAUUCCACGUGUAGCAGUGAAAUGCGUAGAGAUGUGGAGGAACACCAAUGGCGAAGGCAGCCCCCUGGGUCGAUACUGACGCUCAUGCACGAAAGCGUGGGUAGCAAACAGGAUUAGAUACCCUGGUAGUCCACGCCUAAACGAUGUCAACUAGGUGUUGGGUGGGUAAAACCAUUUAGUACCGGAGCUAACGCGUGAAGUUGACCGCCUGGGGAGUACGGCCGCAAGGUUA
Molecule: ribosomal RNA, 370 nt
Filed under: uncultured organism
Description: bacterial SSU rRNA
Rfam family: Bacterial small subunit ribosomal RNA
Source: RNAcentral